RNAcentral lists this ribosomal RNA (468 nucleotides) under uncultured bacterium. RNAcentral describes it as "partial 16S ribosomal RNA". It matches the Rfam family "Bacterial small subunit ribosomal RNA", at positions 28 to 507 of the family's 1533-position model. The record is from RNAcentral.
GACGAACGCUGGCGGCGUGCUUAACACAUGCAAGUCGAACGGAAAGGCCCUGCUUUUGUGGGGUGCUCGAGUGGCGAACGGGUGAGUAACACGUGAGUAACCUGCCCUUGACUUUGGGAUAACUUCAGGAAACUGGGGCUAAUACCGGAUAGGAGCUCCUGCUGCAUGGUGGGGGUUGGAAAGUUUCGGCGGUUGGGGAUGGACUCGCGGCUUAUCAGCUUGUUGGGGGGGUAGUGGCUUACCAAGGCUUUGACGGGUAGGCGGCCUGAGAGGGUGACCGGCGACAUUGGGCCUGAGAUAGGGACCAGACUCCUACGGGAGGCAGCAGUGGGGAAUAUUGCACAGUGGGCGGAAGCCUGAUGCAGCAACGCCGCGUGCGGGAUGACGGCCUUCGGGUUGUAAACCGCUUUCGCCUGUGACGAAGCGUGAGUGACGGUAAUGGGUAAAGAAGCACCGGCUAACUACGUG